UAUAAUAAGGUGUUAAGCACGUAGAAAUUUGAGUUCUAAAGUAAAGGAAUUUUUGUUAUAA
Molecule: transfer RNA, 61 nt
Filed under: Caligus rogercresseyi
Lineage: Eukaryota; Metazoa; Arthropoda; Copepoda; Siphonostomatoida; Caligidae
Description: tRNA-Gln
Source: RNAcentral